This 253-nucleotide ribosomal RNA is filed under the name uncultured bacterium. RNAcentral describes it as "partial 16S ribosomal RNA". It matches the Rfam family "Bacterial small subunit ribosomal RNA", at positions 524 to 776 of the family's 1533-position model. The record is from RNAcentral.
UACGUAGGGUGCAAGCGUUGUCCGGAAUUACUGGGCGUAAAGCGUGCGCAGGCGGCUUUGCAAGACAGAUGUGAAAUCCCCGGGCUUAACCUGGGAACUGCAUUUGUGACUGCAAGGCUGGAGUGCGGCAGAGGGGGAUGGAAUUCCAGGUGUAGCGGUGAAAUGCGUAGAUAUCUGGAGGAAUACCGGUGGCGAAGGCGGCAUCCUGGACCGACAUUGACGCUGAUGAGCGAAAGCUAGGGGAGCAAACGGG